RNAcentral lists this ribosomal RNA (497 nucleotides) under uncultured bacterium. RNAcentral describes it as "partial 16S ribosomal RNA". It matches the Rfam family "Bacterial small subunit ribosomal RNA", at positions 28 to 507 of the family's 1533-position model. The record is from RNAcentral.
GAUGAACGCUGGCGGCGUGCCUAAUACAUGCAAGUCGAGCGAAAAGAUAAGGAGCUUGCUCCUUUGACGUUAGCGGCGGAGGGAAGCGUAACACGGGGAUAACCUAACUCUAAGAAUGGGAUGACUUCGGGAAACCAGAGCUAAUAACGAAUAACAUAUUGAACCGCAUGGUUCAAUAGUGAAAGGAGCCUUUGCUGACACUAAUAGCUGACUCCGCGCCGUAUUAGCUAGUUGGUAAGGUAACGGCUUACCAAGGCAACGAUACGUAGCCGACCUGAGAGCGUGAUCGCCCACACUGUAACUGAGACUCGUUCCAGACUCCUACGCGGAGCCGCAGCCGGGAAUCUUCCGCAAUGGGCGAAAGCCUGACGGUGCAACGCCGCGUGAGUGAUGAAGGUCUUCUGAUCGUAAAACUCUGUUAUCAGUGAAGUACAAAUGCGUAAUUACCUGUGCUCAUCUUGACGGUACCUGGUCAGAAAGCCACGGCUAACUACGUG